Molecule: ribosomal RNA, 253 nt
Filed under: uncultured bacterium
Lineage: Bacteria
Description: partial 16S ribosomal RNA
Rfam family: Bacterial small subunit ribosomal RNA
Source: RNAcentral
UACGGGGGGGGCGAGCGUUGUUCGGAAUUACUGGGCGUAAAGGGCUCGUAGGCGGCCAACUAAGUCAGACGUGAAAUCCCUCGGCUUAACCGGGGAAUGGCACUUGAAACUACGAUGCUGGAGUAUGGCAGAGGGAGGUGGAAUUCCACGUGUAGCGGUGAAAUGCGUAGAGAUGUGGAGGAACACCGAUGGCGAAGGCAGCCUCCUGGGCCAAUACUGACGCUCAUGCACGAAAGCGUGGGGAGCAAACAGG